Molecule: ribosomal RNA, 484 nt
Filed under: uncultured bacterium
Lineage: Bacteria
Description: partial 16S ribosomal RNA
Rfam family: Bacterial small subunit ribosomal RNA
Source: RNAcentral
AUUGAACGCUGGCGGCAGGCCUAACACAUGCAAGUCGAGCGGAUGAAGGGAGCUUGCUCCUGGAUUCAGCGGCGGACGGGUGAGUAAUUCCUAGGAAUCUGCCUGGUAGUGGGGGAUAACGUCCGGAAACGGGCGCUAAUACCGCAUACGUCCUGAGGGAGAAAGGGGGGGAUCUUCGGACCUCACGCUAUCAGAUGAGCCUAGGUCGGAUUAGCUAGUUGGUGGGGUAAAGGCCUACCAAGGCGACGAUCCGUAACUGGUCUGAGAGGAUGAUCAGUCACACUGGAACUGAGACACGGUCCAGACUCCUACGGGAGGCAGCAGUGGGGAAUAUUGGACAAUGGGCGAAAGCCUGAUCCAGCCAUGCCGCGUGUGUGAAGAAGGUCUUCGGAUUGUAAAGCACUUUAAGUUGGGAGGAAGGGCAGUAAGUUAAUACCUUGCUGUUUUGACGUUACCAACAGAAUAAGCACCGGCUAACUUCGUG